ACCCCAGCUCAGGCGAGGGUACCCACCGAGUUUAAGCAUAUCAAUAAGCGGAGGAAAAG
This 59-nucleotide ribosomal RNA is filed under the name Gnetum aff. latifolium SAN151116. RNAcentral describes it as "partial 26S ribosomal RNA". The record is from RNAcentral. Lineage: Eukaryota; Viridiplantae; Streptophyta; Gnetopsida; Gnetales; Gnetaceae.